This 421-nucleotide non-coding RNA is filed under the name Brassica napus (rape). Its description in RNAcentral is "rRNA LSU_rRNA_eukarya". It matches the Rfam family "Eukaryotic large subunit ribosomal RNA", at positions 965 to 1377 of the family's 3401-position model. RNAcentral also lists the same sequence under 1 other name. Lineage: Eukaryota; Viridiplantae; Streptophyta; Magnoliopsida; Brassicales; Brassicaceae. The record is from Rfam by way of RNAcentral.
AGUUUCCCUCAGGAUAGCUAGAGCUCGGAAACGAGUUCUAUCGGGUGCCAAUGAUUAGAGGCAUCGGGGACGCAAUGUCCUCGACCUAUUCUUAAACUAUAAAUAGGUAGGACGGGGUGGCUGCUUUGUUGAGCCAUCCCACAGAAUCGAGAGUUUCAAGUGGGCCAUUUUUGGUAAGCAGAACUGGCAAUGCGGGAUGAACUGGAAGCCGGGUUACGGUGCCCAACUGCGCGCUAACCUAGAACUCACAAAGGGUGUAGGUCGAUUAAGACAACAGGACAGUGGUCAUGGAAGUCAAAAUCCGCUAAGGAGUGUGUAACAACUCACCUGCCGAAUCAACUAGCCCCGAAAAUGGAUGGCGCUGAAGGGCGCUGUGGGAACCGAAAUCGCACUGUCGAUUUCCAUUUAAAUUGCAAAACUA